This 301-nucleotide ribosomal RNA is filed under the name uncultured Marinomonas sp. RNAcentral describes it as "bacterial SSU rRNA". It matches the Rfam family "Bacterial small subunit ribosomal RNA", at positions 130 to 438 of the family's 1533-position model. Lineage: Bacteria; Pseudomonadati; Pseudomonadota; Gammaproteobacteria; Oceanospirillales; Oceanospirillaceae. The record is from RNAcentral.
CCUUUAGAAAAAAAUAGGGGAGGAAAAGAUAAUACCGCAUACGCCCUACGGGGGAAAGGAGGGGAUUUUCGGACCUUUCGCUAUCAGAUGACUUCGCAAGAAAUAAGCUAGUUGGUGGGGUAAAGGCUAACCAAGGCGACGAUCUCUAGCUGGUCUGAUAGGAUGAUCAGCCACACUGGGACUGAGACACGGCCCAAACUCCUACGGGAGGCACCAUUGGGGAAUAUUGGACAGUGGGCGCAAGCCUGAUCCAGCCAUGCCGCGUGUGUGAAGAAGGCCUUCGGGUUGUAAAGCACUUUCA